Molecule: non-coding RNA, 353 nt
Organism: Miniopterus natalensis
Lineage: Eukaryota; Metazoa; Chordata; Mammalia; Chiroptera; Miniopteridae
Source: RefSeq, a predicted model, not a curated record
CGGGGGCCUGGCGUCACAUGCAGAGCUGCUCCGAGCCGCCGAAGCCGAAGAUGGAGAAGGGACUCUGUCCUACUCACCGCUGCACCCUGUCAGCAUCACAGUGCCUGACAUGUAGACGGGCCUCUGCAGUGUUUGGAACAAAUGAACAAACCAGCUCAUGAAUGGAGCUUACCUGGACGUCAAUCUACUCAUCUCCUGGUACUGAAAUACAAAGUUGUGUGGAGGAUUUGGAAAAUUAUAUCAUAAAACUCCAGCCUACAGUUCCUAACAACCUGAUUGGAGGAGACAAGACUAAUCAAGGCACAUUUCACACUGAACACAGAAGCUAAGAAAUGAAAAUAACUAAAAAUGUA